RNAcentral lists this ribosomal RNA (497 nucleotides) under uncultured bacterium. RNAcentral describes it as "partial 16S ribosomal RNA". It matches the Rfam family "Bacterial small subunit ribosomal RNA", at positions 28 to 507 of the family's 1533-position model. The record is from RNAcentral.
GAUGAACGCUGGCGGCGUGCCUAAUACAUGCAAGUCGAGCGAACAGACGAGGAGCUUGCUCCUCUGACGUUAGCGGCGGACGGGUGAGUAACACGUGGAUAACCUACCUAUAAGACUGGGAUAACUUCGGGAAACCGGAGCUAAUACCGGAUAAUAUAUUGAACCGCAUGGUUCAAUAGUGAAAGACGGUUUUGCUGUCACUUAUAGAUGGAUCCGCGCCGCAUUAGCUAGUUGGUAAGGUAACGGCUUACCAAGGCGACGAUGCGUAGCCGACCUGAGAGGGUGAUCGGCCACACUGGAACUGAGACACGGUCCAGACUCCUACGGGAGGCAGCAGUAGGGAAUCUUCCGCAAUGGGCGAAAGCCUGACGGAGCAACGCCGCGUGAGUGAUGAAGGUCUUCGGAUCGUAAAACUCUGUUAUUAGGGAAGAACAAAUGUGUAAGUAUCUAUGCACGUCUUGACGGUACCUAAUCAGAAAGCCACGGCUAACUACGUG